RNAcentral lists this ribosomal RNA (245 nucleotides) under uncultured bacterium. RNAcentral describes it as "partial 16S ribosomal RNA". It matches the Rfam family "Bacterial small subunit ribosomal RNA", at positions 524 to 768 of the family's 1533-position model. The record is from RNAcentral.
GACAGAGGUGCCGAGCGUUAGGCGGAAUCACUGGGCUUAAAGCGUGUGUAGGCGGAGUUCUAAGUACCUUGUGAAAUCCCACGGCUCAACCGUGGAACUGCUUGGUAUACUGGUUCUCUUGGGUCGUCUAGGGGCGAGCGGAACAAACGGUGGAGCGGUGAAAUGCGUAGAUAUCGUUUGGAACGCCAAUGGUGAAAACAGCUCGCUGGGGACGUACCGACGCUGAGACACGAAAGCCAGGGGAG